UUCUUAUUAGCUUAAUGGUAAAGCUAGGUACUUCUAAUGCCUUGAUUCUAGUUCGAAUCUAGAAUAAGAAU
Molecule: transfer RNA, 71 nt
Filed under: Ceratocystiopsis pallidobrunnea
Lineage: Eukaryota; Fungi; Ascomycota; Sordariomycetes; Ophiostomatales; Ophiostomataceae
Description: tRNA-Arg
Rfam family: tRNA
About the family: Transfer RNA (tRNA) molecules are approximately 80 nucleotides in length. Their secondary structure includes four short double-helical elements and three loops (D, anti-codon, and T loops).
Source: RNAcentral